AUAGUUAGCGUAGACUUUGUCCUGGUGUAGCCAUAGCUUCUCUUUCAUUGAACAGGUGUGACAAUUCUAAGUUGCAGAUAUUCCAUAUGAUGUUCCGCCAAAGAAGACGAAAUCUCCUUGUGAUCUUAGCUUCUGUCCUUUUCAUGCUC
Long non-coding RNA from Saccostrea echinata, 149 nucleotides. RefSeq lists it as uncharacterized. The record is from RefSeq and is a predicted model, not a curated record. The transcript has 3 exons. NCBI's taxonomy places the organism in Eukaryota, Metazoa, Mollusca, Bivalvia, Ostreida, Ostreidae.